This 72-nucleotide transfer RNA is filed under the name Heterocephalus glaber (naked mole-rat). It matches the Rfam family "tRNA". From Rfam's summary of the family: Transfer RNA (tRNA) molecules are approximately 80 nucleotides in length. Their secondary structure includes four short double-helical elements and three loops (D, anti-codon, and T loops). The record is from Rfam by way of RNAcentral. Lineage: Eukaryota; Metazoa; Chordata; Mammalia; Rodentia; Bathyergidae.
GGGUAUGUAGCUUAGCAGUGGAGCACUUGCCUGGCAUGCAUGAGGCCCUAGGUUCCAUCCCCAGCACUGCCA